This 213-nucleotide long non-coding RNA is filed under the name Citrus maxima (pomelo). RNAcentral's name for it is "long non-coding RNA (CMAX_LNC000619)". Lineage: Eukaryota; Viridiplantae; Streptophyta; Magnoliopsida; Sapindales; Rutaceae. The record is from RNAcentral.
AUUUCCAUUAAUCUUUAGAAGUUUUGUUGGGUAACUUGGCUUGGUUUCUUGGAUUAUAACUUAACUGUGUUGUUUUAUAUUUGGGAUUUUUUUUUUUUAAUUUAAGAUGUUUUAUUAUGUAUUCAUGGUGAUUACAUUGGAUACUAUAUGUAUCUCUUUUGAAUUUGUUGGAUUGAAUGGAUUUUAAUUAAUAUUAUUUGUUUUUAGUUUUUA